CCUAGGAAUCUGCCUGGUACUGGGGGACAACGUUUCGAAAGGAACGCUAAUACCGCAUACGUCCUACGGGAGAAAGCAGGGGACCUUCGGGCCUUGCGCUAUCAGAUGAGCCUAGGUCGGAUUAGCUAGUUGGUGAGGUAAUGGCUCACCAAGGCUACGAUCCGUAACUGGUCUGAGAGGAUGAUCAGUCACACUGGAACUGAGACACGGUCCAGACUCCUACGGGAGGCAGCAGUGGGGAAUAUUGGACAAUGGGCGAAAGCCUGAUCCAGCCAUGCCGCGUGUGUGAAGAAGGUCUUCGGAUUGUAAAGCACUUUAAGUUGGGAGGAAGGGCAGUAAGCGAAUACCUUGCUGUUUUGACGUUACCGACAGAAUAAGCACCGGCUAACUCUGUGCCAGCAGCCGCGGUAAUACAGAGGGUGCAAGCGUUAAUCGGAAUUACUGGGCGUAAAGCGCGCGUAGGUGGUUCGUUAAGUUGGAUGUGAAAUCCCCGGGCUCAACCUGGGAACUGCAUCCAAAACUGGCGAGCUAGAGUAGGGCAGAGGGUGGGUGGAAUUUCCUGUGUAGCGGUGAAAUGCGUAGAUAUAGGAAGGAACACCAGUGGCGAAGGCGACCACCUGGGCUCAUACUGACACUGAGGUGCGAAAGCGUGGGGGAGCAAACAGGAUUAGAUACCCUGGUAGUCCACGCCGUAGACGAUGUCAACUAGCCGUUGGAAUCCUUGAGAUUUUAGUGGCGCAGCUAACGCAUUAAGUUGACCGCCUGGGGGAGUACGGCCCGCAAGGUUUAAAACUCAAAUGAAUUUGACGGGGGGCCCGCACAAGCCGGUGGGAGCAUGUGGUUUUAAUUCGAAGCCAACGCGGAGAAACCUUACCAGGCCCUUGACAUCCCAAUGAACUUUUCCAGA
Molecule: ribosomal RNA, 907 nt
Filed under: Pseudomonas japonica
Lineage: Bacteria; Pseudomonadati; Pseudomonadota; Gammaproteobacteria; Pseudomonadales; Pseudomonadaceae
Description: bacterial SSU rRNA
Rfam family: Bacterial small subunit ribosomal RNA
Source: RNAcentral